CGAAAUAACUAGCAAAGAGACCUUGUUUCAACAUCAAAUAUGUUUCCGUAGGGCCAGAUUCUUGGGCAAAGUUGUUUUAGCGAUCUGGUUGCAACUAAGUAUUGGAGUUGUUGUGCCUUGAAGCUAGAAACUGCCUUGAAUUUCUACAUAGGGAAAUGUAAUCUAUUGCUUUCUUACAGAUUGCCAUUUGCCAGCUGACCUGUGACACGGCAGCAGUGUAUUACAUUUUCAAUGAGCAGUCUGUCUGGAGCUGCUACUAGGAGAAACCGCUUCCUGGUUUCUAGGCCACUGAAGGAAGUCAGUGCCUGGGAUCCUGAGAUGCAGCCACACCAUAAAGUUUCAUUACUCAGUUGCAGUAGAGAAAGCCUCAAAGGAACCACUUCUAAUGGAAACUGCCUCAUUUCCUGGUCAAGUUUCACAGUGGAGGUGCUCUGAAGUAGGUGCUCUGAAGUGCUCUGAAGUGAAAAGUUCACUUCAUGAGAAGUUACAAACUAAUUGUAAAGUAUCUCAAAAAAUGAUCAAGAUAUCCCUUUUCUCUUAUGGUAUAUGACUAAUAACUUGAUAUAUUUUUUAAGGAUCUGCAGCAUAAAAAUCAUUUUAAAAUACCAUUUAGUACUACCCUACUUUUUAAAGUAAAUGCUACU
Molecule: long non-coding RNA, 644 nt
Filed under: Macaca nemestrina (pig-tailed macaque)
Lineage: Eukaryota; Metazoa; Chordata; Mammalia; Primates; Cercopithecidae
Description: lncRNA (ENSMNEG00000045623.1)
Source: RNAcentral